Molecule: ribosomal RNA, 600 nt
Filed under: Parasphingorhabdus flavimaris
Lineage: Bacteria; Pseudomonadati; Pseudomonadota; Alphaproteobacteria; Sphingomonadales; Sphingorhabdaceae
Description: bacterial SSU rRNA
Rfam family: Bacterial small subunit ribosomal RNA
Source: RNAcentral
GUGGGAAUCUACCUUGGGGUACGGAAUAACGCAGAGAAAUUUGUGCUAAUACCGUAUAAUGACUUCGGUCCAAAGAUUUAUCGCCCUUAGAUGAGCCCGCGCAAGAUUAGCUAGUUGGUGAGGUAAAAGCUCACAAAGGCGACGAUCUUUAGCUGGUCUGAGAGGAUGAUCAGCCACACUGGGACUGAGACACGGCCCAGACUCCUACGGGAGGCAGCAGUGGGGAAUAUUGGACAAUGGGCGAAAGCCUGAUCCAGCAAUGCCGCGUGAGUGAUGAAGGCCUUAGGGUUGUAAAGCUCUUUUACUAGGGAUGAUAAUGACAGUACCUAGAGAAUAAGCUCCGGCUAACUCCGUGCCAGCAGCCGCGGUAAUACGGAGGGAGCUAGCGUUGUUCGGAAUUACUGGGCGUAAAGCGCGCGUAGGCGGUUAUCCAAGUCAGAGGUGAAAUCCCGGAGCUUAACUCCGGAACUGCCUUUGAAACUAGAUAACUAGAAUCUUGGAGAGGCGAGUGGAAUUCCGAGUGUAGAGGUGAAAUUCGUAGAUAUUCGGAAGAACACCAGUGGCGAAGGCGACUCGCUGGACAAGUAUUGACGCUGAGGU